UCUCCGUUGGUGAACCAGCGGAGGGAUCAUUACCGAGUUUACAACUCCCAAACCCCUGUGAACAUACCAUGUUUUGCCUCGGCGGUGCCUGCUUCGGCAGCCCGCCAGAGGACCCAAACCCUUGAUUUUAUACAGUAUCUUCUGAGUAAAUGUUUAAAUAAAUCAAAACUCUCAACAACGGAUCUCUUGGUUCUG
RNAcentral lists this unclassified non-coding RNA (195 nucleotides) under plant metagenome. RNAcentral describes it as "partial contains small subunit ribosomal RNA, internal transcribed spacer 1, and 5.8S ribosomal RNA". The record is from RNAcentral.